CCUACGGGAGGCAGCAGUGAGGAAUAUUGGUCAAUGGACGAGAGUCUGAACCAGCCAAGUAGCGUGAAGGAUGACUGCCCUAUGGGUUGUAAACUUCUUUUAUAAAGGAAUAAAACGAGGCACGUGUGCCUUUUUGCAUGUACUUUAUGAAUAAGGAUCGGCUAACUCCGUGCCAGCAGCCGCGGUAAUACGGAGGAUCCGAGCGUUAUCCGGAUUUAUUGGGUUUAAAGGGAGCGUAGAUGGGCUGUUAAGUCAGUUGUGAAAGUUUGCGGCUCAACCGUAAAAUUGCAAUUGAUACUGGCAGUCUUGAGUACAGUUGAGGUAGGCGGAAUUCGUGGUGUAGCGGUGAAAUGCUUAGAUAUCACGAAGAACCCCGAUUGCGAAGGCAGCUUACUAAACUGUGACUGACAUUGAUGCUCGAAAGCGUGGGUAGCAAACAGGAUUAGAUACCCCUGUAGUC
RNAcentral lists this ribosomal RNA (460 nucleotides) under uncultured bacterium. RNAcentral's name for it is "partial 16S ribosomal RNA". It matches the Rfam family "Bacterial small subunit ribosomal RNA", at positions 338 to 795 of the family's 1533-position model. The record is from RNAcentral.